RNAcentral lists this long non-coding RNA (1296 nucleotides) under Cottoperca gobio. RNAcentral's name for it is "lncRNA (ENSCGOG00000006413.1)". Lineage: Eukaryota; Metazoa; Chordata; Actinopteri; Perciformes; Bovichtidae. The record is from RNAcentral.
UUAAUCUUUGGGUACAUGGGACUACAGUGUUUUCCUAAAAUAUAUGUCUUUUUUAAAUAGUAGUUACAUGUGGCCAGAGGCUAAAUAUAAGUAUGAUAAGAAAAACUCACUUUUCAGCCAAGAAGUUUGACUGAUUUUGAACAUUUCUUCAGAUGUGCUGAGGAAAUGUAAGAUUUCAGCUGCAGGCACAAAUGGGUUAACAAUGCUCUUUACUAAGCAUCAUUGUGAGCACACAUUGGCCUUGUACACACACACACACACACAUACUCUGAUACGGUUAAUAAAUUGACAUAAUUGUAAUCAAAUUUCAUGACAACGUUUUUCUCUUACAGCUACUGCGUCUCCCACAGACAACUUCCCGGUCAUCGCCGGGUGGAUAUGGAUCGUGUUGGGGGUAUCUGCUUUCAUCCUGAUUGUCCUGCUGGUCACAUGUGUCUUGCUGAGAAGAAGAUGUCGCAGAAGCAGAGGAGAAGAACCUAUCUAUGUAAACUCUCGUCAUGUGGCCAGCAAACAGUCUUCACCUCGGCCAGGGUUGCCCGGGGACAACCUGAAAAUGGUUUCUUCCUCCCAAAACCUCCACAACCCGAGUCCAGGCCAGGGAUACCACAAAGACAAGCGGAGAUUCAAACAGUGAGGAAGUCAUGGACCUCAUAAAUCGACUCAUCAUAUCUUUAAAAAGAAAAGAUAUUAUGUGCCACUAGAUGGCAGAAGGUGGAUACUGUCAAUGGGUAAAUUCAAAAUGUUCUUUUUUUAUUUUAUUUGUUCUAUUUCAGCCUUUCUAUAGUAAAUAAGCACAACGUGGAUUUUUUGUAUGAAUUAUAGAGAUUGGGAGUGACAUGUUGAUGUUUUUAUCAGCUUUGUGCUUAUUGUUAGAGUUUAUAUUAAAAUGGUAAGAUGCAGGUUUUGUAAUAUCUUGAAUGUUAGUAUAUGAUAUUGAUAGGUAUCCUAUUCUGUCAUAUUAUCAUUUUAAUUUUGCAUUUUUAAUACACAUCAAUAAUAAAUAAAUAAGUCAAAAUCAAGGGAACAUUAAUAUUAUUUUUCAGAUCCAACUGAUUUCCUUUUGUAUUAUUAUUUUAAACUUUGAAUGUAUUGUUGGUGCAAGCUUUUCCUUUAAACUUGAAAUGUGUAUGUUAUUGUAUGUAUUUCUUCUCAGGUAUUUCCUGUAAAAUAGAUAUUAUAAGCCACUAGAUGGCAGAAGGUAAUUGCUUUCUGCUUUUGUCAAUGGGUAAAUAAUGUUUGUUUUAUUUCCACUGGUAAUAUUUGAAUAUGUUGCCAACAGUAGCUUUAGUAUGAUAA